This 222-nucleotide unclassified non-coding RNA is filed under the name Hevea brasiliensis (rubber tree). Lineage: Eukaryota; Viridiplantae; Streptophyta; Magnoliopsida; Malpighiales; Euphorbiaceae. The record is from RNAcentral.
GAAAAUGUUUUAUGAAUAAAUUAUCGUUGCUACUUAUUAAGUUCUCUAUAUUUGCAUGAUGAGUAUCGCAAGCUUCAAUAAUAAGGUAUAGCUGCUUAUCAAAUAAAUAAAUAAAUAAUGAUGUAUAGCUGAUAUGCUUACUGAUAAAUUUGCAGGUUAUAGUGGGGAUGUUUGGCAUCCACAGCCAGCACCAAAGGACCAUCCAUGGCGUUAUAUGCCAAA